Paramacrobiotus metropolitanus is the source of this 4406-nucleotide RNA transcript. RefSeq lists it as uncharacterized. The transcript is spliced from 5 exons. The record is from RefSeq and is a predicted model, not a curated record. Lineage: Eukaryota; Metazoa; Tardigrada; Eutardigrada; Parachela; Macrobiotidae.
UUCUGCUUGUAGUUUGAAACAGGAAGCAUAUAAUUAUUAUCAGGGUACGCUUCCCAUUUACAACAGCAAAGUAUUAGUAUAUUCCACAGUCAGUAACCAUGCUUCUGACAAGCUCUAAGUUUCUGAGAGCAUUUCUGCUGGUCGUGAUUUUUCACUUAGUUACUGCCGACAAUCCCGACUGUAAUGUACUGGCCGAAAAUUAUACAGCGACCUUCAGUUCGAAUAGUCCAGGGCCUCUCGUGUCCUUCGAUGAAACAACGCCUGCUGCAUGCGUUCAUGUGCGAGCCGGACAACACCACUGAUGUGGCACCUCUUAUCAACGAUUUCUGUUCACAGAAAUCUUGGGCACACUCCGGACGUCCUUCUGGCGAUAGCUACCUUAUGUGAAACCGGUGACCUUUCCAAAUACAUCAGGGCGAUUACACCGUGCGUACGGAAAGCACAGCCAGUGAUGUUCUCAGGAAUGCGCCCAAGAGAAGAAUGGGAGCUACCAGUAGACAAGUGGAUCUCCGAUAUAAAAUCUGUCACUGAAUCCUGCCAACAGUGCAGCUCUCCCUUCGUGUUUUUGGUCAACAGACCGUUUCUUUGCCGGUAAACACACCAACUGGGGAGGCAUCGCAAAUUAUAUUGUUUUAUAGACUAUUGUUGUACACAUCAGCACAAGUUCACAGCUGCCCGGACGUGCACCGCAGCGCACUGUUAUCCAGUGAGCACUAUAUUGUACAUGCGAAGCGGUUUUAAUUUUCUAUCACAAUUCGCAAUACUGAAUAUGAGCCGAACUCUGAACAGAGGAGGGUUGUAUUGCAGGUUUUUACAGAGCGUGCUGGCAUAUGCCAAUGGCAAACAGGGUAGAACUGUGUUGGAGACCUGUGGACAAGAGGCGCUGGAUGUAUUCUUGGAACUGUGCGAGAAAUCGCUGUCAGCGCUUCACUGCGCUGAAUUUGGAAAUAAUGUUAGAACAUUUAAAUUCAUGAAAGUGACGUAUCAGGACGGCAAGGUGAUAGGUUAACGACAAGGAAAUCAGCUAUAAUAGUGCGGACGCAUGUUCACUUUUAAAACCGCUGCGACAUUAUUGCAUGAUAAACGUCUAAUCCUUAUCCUGUCGGCAUCACGGAAAAGCAAAGCAAUACCAGAACCGUGUACCAGAAAUAUCGAGUAGACAUUAAACUUUAGACACUAUUUACGCUCCCGGCUACUUUAAUAACUUUAAUGGCAAUAGCCACCCAAAUAGCAAUAACUGCAAGCGCUGGUACGCUUUAAUAAGAUAAUUUACCCUACUUGCUGCACUAACAAGUCUCUUUUGGUUUGUAUACGGCUGUCGUACGGGUAGUACCAGUUUUAUCAGAAAAAUAAACUGGCUGAUAGUACGAGUAAUUAAUUAUCAGCUAAUACCCAAAAUUGUGGCUCAUAGGUCGUAGGAGUCAUAACAUCUGAUUUUUCGGCAUCCAUGUUUAGUCGGAAUGUACCAAAACCGCAAUAUAAACAUUAUGCGCAAAUGAUUGCUGGGUAUUUCGUAUCUUUGAGCGACGGCAAAAGUACUCUGGCCAUUUACAGUCAAAUUUCCCGCUAGAUCGUAAUAAUUAUUAUUUUACCAUGGAUGUGCAGAAGGUCGGAAGCCGAAAAAGAUAGCUUUUAAUCAGUAAUCAAUCUCCAUGCACGACGCAAAAAUAAUAGGGUAGUUAUUCUGUACGAUAUUUAACGAAUAUUGUGAGGGACAGAGACUGCGUACGAGGAUGGCUCACGAAGAAUACCUUCACUUCGGUGGACAGAGCAACGACUUACUCAGUGAUGCCGAUCUGGGUGCACAGCACAGCUAUUUCACGAGGUUCUCCUUUCUAUUUUUCGCAUUUCUGUUCUACCGACGAGCUAGUACGCACUAUUGUGCCGGAAGAUUGCCCCGACGAGCGGUCUGUCGUUGAGCUGUGCUGGGAAGAACGUACAGGAAAGAGUGCACCUGCGAUGGAAGACCGGAGCAACCAACGCUUGUGGUCGGAUAUGCUGACUGCCGGGAAACUGGAAGCCUUAAAAGAGAGCGCCGACGUUAUUGCCUCUGCUCGUCUGUUGGCUGCCUCUGCUAAGGAUGCCAGUGCCUGGUUGUUUGCAUUGCCGGUCGCCAGCCUUGGCACACUGCUGGACGAUGCCGGUCUGCGGAUCGCUGUUGCUUUGCGGAUGGGGGCGCCUAUUUGUAAAGAGCAUAAAUGUCGGUGUGGUGAAAUGGUUGAUACAUGCGGCUUACAUGGAUUGUCGUGCGUCAAAAGCCAAGGAAGGUUCAGGAGGCAUGCGAGUCUGAAUAGCGUGAUUCAGCGUAGCCUGGGAUCAUCAAAGGUGCCGUCAAUCUUGGAGCCUCCCGGACUGUGCAGACUGGACGGGAAGCGGCCAGACGGCUUAUCACUCUUCCCAUGGAGAAAUGGCCUCCCUCUGAUAUGGGAUGUAACAGUUUGUGACACAUUCGCUACUUCGUAUAUAGCUGGCUGUUCAGAAACAGCGGGAUCGGCUGCUGAAGACGCGGAAGUGCGGAAGCGGAACCUAUAUUCCGAACUCACUGAUCGGCAUUUUUUCCAGCCAGUGGCACUCGAAACUAUGGGAAGUUGUAGCGAAAGUACCCACCAGUUCAUCAAUGAAGUCGGCCGGCGUAUCAAAGAACAAACGGGAGAAGCGCGCGCUGUUCAGUAUUUGUGGCAACGUAUAAGUGUGAAAAUUCAGCGCGGAAACGCGGCUUCUGUCCUGGGGACGGUCGGGUGUUCUCGAGAGUUAGAAGAGUUAUUUUUCUUGUUCUGAUUAUUGGGUAUUUAAAGUUUUAACGUAAAUGGCAUUGGCUUGUACAAGUUGAGAAUAUGCAGGUGGAAUGGUGUGGUAGCGAAUUAAGAUAAAGAAACGGAGGGUGUGAGGCUGGUCACUGUAAUAAUGAAAUAUUAUGCCGCCACGCCACGUGAUGGCAGGGCAGAUGCCAUUUCAAAAUGGGAUCGUAGACAAACCGUUUUUCGAUAAUUCCAAGCCGCUGCUUUUUAUCAAGCAUUUUGGCGUUCGCACAGCAGCAGCAGCGCUUUUUCGCAUACUUCUACUGAAGCUCCACCAUUUGUGACCUAGAGCCCUGACCGGUUUACAAAACAAAAGAUUAAAAUUAAGGGAGCAUUUAAACCAUCCAACGGCAGAGUGGACUUUCCUGGAUUUACCGCAACGGUUGGAGAACGAUUAUAGCAGUUGUCAGUUAGUUAUUUGCGAUUAAUGGGAAAAUGAGGCGACCUUUGCUACCCGUCAACAGGACUUUACUUCGUUGUCUUCGAUGUUAAGUUGCGAUAGUUUAUUGUGACACAUCAAUGCCUGCUUUUCGUUGACUUAAAGACAUCAAAACAUCUUCGGCCAAAGAAAUUAUCUGUAAGGCCAGGCGAGAUUUCUGCUUGUACUUUUAAUGUGAAUGUAACCGGCAUUCUGAGAUUGGGUUUCCAGUUUCCAAUUUUCGUAUUCCGCAGCCGGUAAUCAGUCAUGCUGUUAACAAACUCAAAGUUUAUAGGAGCCAUUCUUUUGGUCGUGACUGCAUUACAAUUUAUUACGGCCGAUAAUACCGACUGUGAUGUAUUGGCCAAAAAUUACACAGCGGCCCUGGACACCUUAAGUUCAAAUUACUCCAUGGUGCUGGGCUUGACGUGUCCAUCAACUAAGCAAAGUCUCCUCCAUGCCUUCUUGUGCGAGCCGGACAACUCCACCGAUGCUGCUCCUCUUUUCAGCGAUUUCUGUUCAAUGGUUCGCUCGACGGGACAGCUGGGUACGGAGUUUUCCCGGCAGUGUUCCAGCAACAGCAUCGAGAGAUCCGUUACGUAUACUCCGGAUGUCCUUCUGGCGUUGGCUAGUUUGUGUCAAACCGGUGACCUUGCCAAGUACAUAAGGGCCGUGACACCCUGCAUACGGAAAAGAGAAGACGAAAUCGGCUUACCGUGGAUCCUGAGCCCGGCACAGGAGUGGGGCCGCGAUAUGAUGUCUGUCACUGAAUCUUGCAUGUGUUUUCCUAAUAUGUUCAGGGUCAACAGACCAUUUCUCUGCCGGUUUCUACAAGGUGUGCUGGCAUACACCAACGGCGACAAGGGUAGAACUGUUGUGGAGGCAUGUGGACAAGAAGCGCUGGAUGGCUUCUUGGAACUGCGCGAGAAAGCAUUGCUGGCUCUUAACUGCGCCGAAUUUGGUGAUUAUGUUAGAACAUAUAAAUACAUGAAUGUCAAGUAUCAGGACGGCAAGAUGAUCGAUUAACGAAACGGAAAGCAGUCUUAAAUAAUAGUGGUGUUCCAUAGCUUCAGCACCUGAAUAUUAGUAAUCCCAAAUAAUGUAUCCUGGUUUAAUGGUCUUUGUUCUGCUUUUGCUUUUUGGUACGCUACGCCGCCAGUGAUUUACCGGAAUAAAUUAUAGCGUAAAGC